Molecule: long non-coding RNA, 538 nt
Organism: Tympanuchus pallidicinctus (lesser prairie-chicken)
Lineage: Eukaryota; Metazoa; Chordata; Aves; Galliformes; Phasianidae
Exons: 3
Source: RefSeq, a predicted model, not a curated record
UCCUGGGAUCCUGUGCUGUUGAGAAGGUGUUACUGUGGGAGUGAUGGGAUGAGCACGAGAGGAGCCUCGUUAGUAAGUUUUGUGUGUUGUGUUUUGGAUGGGUCUGUUCAAGAGGACAACCACUGAGCCCGGACCUUUGAAUCGCCAUUGAAGAUGUUUUGGCUCCUAGUCAAGUUAUUCCUCAUUGUUCAGCUGCAAAUGGUCAUGAAAAUACUGGGCUUCCAUACUUUUAGGAGACAACUCUGGUCAUCAGCUCUGAUAGUUGCCCUGUCCUUGCGGAGGGUGAUGCUGCAGAACAGUGCUGUGAAAAGGAGCACAAGGAGAAGCACAGUCCGGAGGGAAACUGUGCAGAGGCACACGAGGAGAUCAACGAGGAUUGCAAAAAAUCUAAAGAGAUUGAGACAGCGGAUUCUGCACUAUCAGCUGAGCUGUGGCUGCAGGUUUCAUGUGGUGGAUAGAAGAGACUGCAUCCAUUGUGUGCAGGCUCAGCCCCUCUCACCACCACCACGUGCACUGGGGUCAUGUGCACUGCAAAGGG